RNAcentral lists this ribosomal RNA (458 nucleotides) under uncultured bacterium. RNAcentral's name for it is "partial 16S ribosomal RNA". It matches the Rfam family "Bacterial small subunit ribosomal RNA", at positions 338 to 795 of the family's 1533-position model. The record is from RNAcentral.
CCUACGGGCGGCAGCAGUGAGGAAUAUUGGUCAAUGGGCGAGAGCCUGAACCAGCCAAGUCGCGUGAGGGAGUACUGCCCUAUGGGUUGUAAACCUCUUUUGUCGGGGAGCAAAAGCCGGACGUGUCCGGCUGUGAGAGUACCCGAAGAAAAAGCAUCGGCUAACUCCGUGCCAGCAGCCGCGGUAAUCCGGAGGAUGCGAGCGUUAUCCGGAUUUAUUGGGUUUAAAGGGUGCGCAGGCGGAUUUUUAAGUCAGCGGUAAAAUCGUGGGGCUCAACCCCAUCCAGCCGUUGAAACUGGGGAUCUAGAGUGUGCGAGAGGUAUGCGGAAUGCGUGGUGUAGCGGUGAAAUGCAUAGAUAUCACGCAGAACCCCGAUUGCGAAGGCAGCAUACCGGUGCACAACUGACGCUCAGGCACGAAAGCGUGGGUAUCGAACAGGAUUAGAUACUCUUGUAGUC